Elephantulus edwardii (Cape elephant shrew) is the source of this 1338-nucleotide RNA transcript. It is a transcript of the gene named inosine-5'-monophosphate dehydrogenase 1-like, with no coding region annotated. The record is from RefSeq and is a predicted model, not a curated record. The transcript has 2 exons. NCBI's taxonomy places the organism in Eukaryota, Metazoa, Chordata, Mammalia, Macroscelidea, Macroscelididae.
AUGGUACUAAAAAGCCACAGAGAUUACUCUACAGUAAAUGAACAGUUGCACAGAUCUCAGGAAUCAGUGAAACCCAAGGGGUAUUCAGGGCAGCGGGGCAAGACAACAGGACAGCAGUGGAACCAGAAGUUCGAGCAGGGUUUUAUCACAGACCCUGUAGUGCUGAGUCCCACAAACACUGUGGGCGAUGUGCUGGAGGCCAAGAUCCGGCACGGCUUCUCUGGUAUCCCCAUCACUGAGACAGGCACAAUGGGCAGCAAGCUGGUGGGCAUCGUCACCUCCCGGGACAUCGACUUCCUGGCCGAGAAGGACCACACCACACUCCUCAAUGAAGUGAUCACGCCGCGGAAUGAACUGGUGGUGGCUCCGGCAGGGGUGACGUUGAAAGAGGCAAAUGAGAUUCUGCAGCGCAGCAAUAAAGGAAAGCUGCCCAUUGUCAAUGACCAUGACGAGUUGGUGGCCAUCAUCGCCCGCACUGACCUGAAGAAGAACCGAGACUACCCCCUGGCUUCCAAGGAUUCCCACAAGCAGCUGCUGUGCGGGGCAGCCGUGGACACCCGUGAGGACGACAAAUACCGCCUGGACCGGCUCAUCCAGGCGGGCGCCGACGUCAUCGUGCUGGACUCCUCCCAAGGGAACUCAGUGUAUCAGAUCGCCAUGGUGCACUACAUCAAGCAGAAGUACCCCCACCUCCAGGUGAUUGGGGGCAAUGUGGUGACAGCAGCUCAGGCCAAGAACCUGACUGACGCAGGCGUGGACGGGCUGCGUGUGGGCAUGGGCUGUGGUUCCAUCUGCAUCACCCAAGAAGUGAUGGGCUGUGGCCGGCCCCAGGGCACUGCCGUGUACAGAGUGGCUGAGUAUGCCCGGCGCUUUGGUGUGCCUAUCAUAGCCGAUGGUGGCAUCCAGACCGUGGGCCACGUGGUCAAGGCCCUGGCCCUCGGAGCCUCUACAGUGAUGAUGGGGUCCCUGCUGGCCGCCACCAUAGAGGCCCCAGGCGAAUACUUCUUUUCGGAUGGAGUGCGGCUCAAGAAGUACCAGGGCAUGGGCUCGCUGAACGCCAUGGAGAACAGCAGCAGCCAGAAGCGAUACUUCAGUGAGGGGGACAAGGUGAAGAUUGCGCAGGGUGUCUCCGGCUCAAUCCAGGACAAAGGCUCUAUCCAGAAGUUCGUACCCUACCUCAUCGCAGGAAUCCAGCACAGGUGCCAGGACAUCGGGGCCCAGAGCCUGUCUGUGCCCAUGAUGUACUCAGGAGAGCUCAAGUUUGAGAAGCGGACCAUGUCGGCCCAGAUCGAGGGUGGCGUCCAUGGCUUGCACUCUUAGGAGAAGCGGCUGUACUGA